UCAAUCAUGCUAGUAGUACAUUUUUGGGUUACAUUGUGGAUGAUAUCCUCCUAUGUGGAUGAAAUCUGACCAUUAAUACGUGUUUUGGAGUUAGCCUUUUGAGAUUCAUUCAGUUCAACUUGUUUUAGCUUCAAGGUUCUCUCUGGUUCUCUUUCCUGAGCACUCUCAGAAAAUUCCUCUCUUCUCACUUUCGAUUUUUGUGGUUGUGAUCUUGAAAAAGAGUUGUAACCCUAAGUGGUCGAUCUUGUAUAGUUGCCUUAUGUCGGUUUUGUGGCCGAGUUGAUUAGGUAACUAUGUUCGAUUUAUUGUAAAGUUCGAUUAGGAUUGAUUCUUGGUGUUUAGGAGCUGAAAUACACUGGUGUUGUAGUUCUUGGCCAAAAAUCUAGAUCUGAUUUUUGGUUUCUUGCACUUUCCCUUUCUCUGGACAGUUUAACUAGUGCUCAUAGUUGAACUGGGUCAACAAUUCUAAAGUUCUUGCAGUCUAUUUAUUUUCUGCAGUGCAAUAGUUUAAUUUACUGUUUUUGAUUGCUGCAUUUUUCAAUUUUUCACACUGCUGAGUAUAAUAUUCUGAUUUGGGUCAAUUGAUCCCAACAUAUAUUUUGAACAAUAUUAUAACUACAACAAGGUGAAUAACUCCAUUCCGGAUUCUUUCUCUAAUUCGAAUUUUGAGAAGUGAGAACCACAAAAAUCCUUAGUUAGAUACACUGCAUAAUUGGGAAAACACCCAUAUAAACGGAAAAAAAAAGGGAUUUAUUACGAUUAUAUUUUAUAAUUGGAACAAACAAGGGCUGAAUUGAUUUUUAAUUCGUUGGCAAUAUUUUCUUGAUUUUGUAGAUUGUAAUUUUGUUCACUUUUUCAAAAAUUGACUGAUAUAGUUUAAUGAUAUUUAUUUAAAUGAUUUUACAAAUUGAAAUUCUUUUAAAUGAAAAAUUAUGAAUUUUCUGUAAUAAACACUUGAUAGUAAGAAAAUCAUUAAAAUUCAACAAAUCCAUUAAAAUCUAUAAGAUAGAAUCUUGUUAAAAUCUUGUGGGAAAUCUAUAAAUCUUAAAAAAAAAACCCAUUAGACCACGAGCUAUGUGUUUGGCAUGUAGUGCAUUAUUUUCUAUCGAACAUGUUAAUGUGUGAAUGCGUUGCUAUCUUAAAGAAGGGCGGUACAGCGUAAGGCAAUGUUAACAAUCUAAGCAAAACCUGGAAAAUUAUACCUAGCACAUAGUAGAAGUUACGGAAAGGACGAAGACAGAAAAAUGAAGAAAAGAGAGCACAUGGGUCAUCAUCUAUGUAUUUCGCCAUGGCCAGCGUGAGAGGUACCAAAAGAGGCAAACUUAAUCAAUUGAAUAGAGUGGAACUUACGUGCUUCAAGUUGUGCGUCAUUUUCUAUGGCUUAACCUCAAUUUAAUAAAUUUAUCAAACUUAAAUUUCUAAGUGCACAUUUCAAUAAACCAACAAGUACUAUCCGUAGCACAAGUAUUGGAUUGUUACCCUUUGAAGAAGUUAAAAGAGAAGCCCAAACUCUCUUGAUGAAGAAAGGGUAUAGGCAAUUGAACCGUUUCUUGCUCCCUCUUUCAUCGUAACAAAAAUUAACAAAUACCUCAACUUAGGUCCCUUUUGGUAUGAAUUUUGAAAAGUCGAAAUGAAUUGGAUCCGUUCGUCUAAUUUUAUGAAAUUGCCUGAGGUAGUUAGAACUUUUAGAAUAGUUGAUUCAAUGUGACUUCCUCUAAAAAUACUUUUGAAAUAGAACUCUUUUAAAAAUUAAUUUUCAAACAAAAUUGAGAUAAUUUUUUCAAAAACUCUUCUACAGACAAGAAAACAAAAGUCAUGCCAAACAAGUCCUUGUUACUAUAAGAGUAAGCCCGAUGGCCCGGCUCAGAGCUGGAGCAUCGACCUGGGUGUUCAGGGGCAUGCCCCAUUGCUGGCUAUCCUGUGGGAGCCUUGAUGGAUAGCAGGUCCAAUUUCAUUAUAUUCAACCUGUAAAAAUAUAAUUGUUUUAAAACUUACUCUUAUAACUUGACCUUUCAAGCUUAGCCAGACAUGCUCUCAAUCUCCUGCUUUCAGUUUAGGAGAAAAAAUUCAUUAUAAUCAAAUUUAUAACCAAGAAACAGAAAGGAGUGAACUGGCUAAUGCAAAACCUCUGUUUUCUAAGAGAGAAUAAAGAACAGUAUAGCGCUUCACACGCACUGCACCAAAUAUUAGAAAACUAACAUUGCCCUUCCACUUCAAAAGAAGUUUAUUGAAUGUAGAAGAAUUUGGUAGCGAUGGACUGGCUUUCUGACAUUGAAUACCCUGCCUAAGUAGACAUCACCAUAAAUAAUGAUAACGGAAAUAAAAAACAAGUGAAGAGAUUAAGGAAUUUCUCGUCUGAUCUUGUAUUGUUAUUUCUUUUGUCACUGUUGUUGAUAAAUAGGAAGGUCAUAUAUUGGUGGCUUUAAAAAAUGUUGAUCCUUGGUCGAUUGGGAGAUACUGCUACUUGAAGCAUCUUCGCUUAUGCCACCUGCCAUCUUCAAGAAGUAACCAUGCCUGCAAGAAAAGAGAACGUCAAGGUAUAGGUACUGUUACAUAUCCAUUCAAUACAUCGGCAGAAGAUGUGUACCAUCUAGUAUCGGCAGUCAAUUCAGGGUGAAAAGCAGUUGCUAGCAAGUUUCCCUGCUUUACAGCGACAAUUACUUUAUUCUCAGAACCUGCAUUCUCCUGAUUUGGGGAAAGGUAAAUGAUGUUAAUUGAAACGUCAAAUUGUUGAAAUCCCGGAACUAAUAUAGGAAGGAGCUGGAUUGAUUGAAAAAAAUUGAUGGAAAUCCUUCUUACCAUAAUUAGUGUUGUAUAUUAUAUAUUGAUUGAUUUCUUACUAGCUUUAGGGGAUUAGAAUUUAUUCUUUUUUUACAUCUUUCCUUGUACUAUAUAUAUGGACCCUUUCAUUGUACAAAUUAUUGAGAAAUAAAAGAAAUCAAUAUCUCUCCAUGGGAUAAGAGCCAAGAUAUUUUCUAACGUAGUCAAAAUAUGGCUAAAGUAGCCGGAAAUAACACAGGUUCAACAACCUCCAAAUCAUACAACAGUGAAUUGGAAGCAACAUCUACCACGAAUCCAAGAGAAAUUGAAAACUCAUCCUUCCAAUUCACGGUAGAAAAAUUGAAUGGGAAGAAUUUUCAUGAGUGGGCCCAAUCUAUCUAACUUAUUGUUGAUGGAAAAGGCAAACUAGGGUACCUGACCGGUGAAACUAAGAUGCCCACCUCAACCAACUCCACUCUCCUUCAAAAAUGGAAGUCAGAGAACUCCAUGCUGACUACUUGGCUGGUGAAUUCUAGGCAACCCGCCAUCAGAAAGACAUACCUGUUUCUUCCAACUGCGGAAGAGGUUUUGGAGGCCGUACAAGAGAUGUACUCAAAUUCUACCAACAUUUUCUAAAUCAAAUCAAAAUUGUGGCAAACAAAGCAAGGUGAACGAGAAGUGACUGAUUACUACCUUGAGAUAACUGGGUUGUGGCAAGAACUGUUAAGUUCUGAAGAAGAAUGGACAUGUGCUGAAGACAGUAUUUGGUAUAAAAAGAGAUUGGAAAACGAACGUGUGCAUGAUUUCUUGGUGGGGCUCCACCACGACCUCGAACAUGACGAUGUCUAGGGGCAAAUUCUUGACCUCCUAAUCGAGACCAACAUGCUAGGAUGCAAGCUAAGUGAUACACCAAUGGAUACAAGAAAGAAAUCUAAAGAUGUCAGAGAUCCAGUGGAAACCAACACAUGUCACACACUAGAGCUAACAUUGCAUUCGCGGUAAGCUACAUAAGCCAACACAUGCAUUCACCUAAGAAAAGACAUUUGGAAGCAGUCUACAAGAUCCCAAGAUAUCUCCAGGACUUCUCAAGAAAAUGACUAUUUUUCAAUAAGAGUGAAAGAAAGGAGGUUGAAGUCUUCACAGAUUCAAAAUGGGCAGGUUUAAUAGAAGACAAGAGACCAACUCUUGGGUAUUGUACCUAUGUGUGGGGAAACCUCGCAACUUGGAGAAGCAUGAAACAAAGUGUAAUGGCCAGAAGCAGUGUUGAAAUUGAGUUUAGAGCUAUUGCACAAGGAAUAUGUAAAGGACCGUGGUUGAGAAAACUUCUGGAAGAAUUGCAUGUCGUAAUAAAGUUCUCAAUCAAACUCUAUUGUGAUCAAUAUUUCCCUCAAUCCUGUUCAGCAUGAUCGCACCAAGCAUAUAAAAGUAGGCAGACACUUCAUAAAAGAAGAAUUGAGGAAGGAACUAUUUGAAUGACCAAUGUUCCUAAACAUGAACAAACUAUAGAUAUAUUUACCAAAUGACUACCUUGACAAUGAUUCGAUGAUUUCAUAUACAAGUUGGAUAUGAUCACUAUUUACAAUCCAACUUGAGUGGGAGUGUUAAAAUCCUGGAACUAAUACAAGAAGCUGGAUUGAUUGGAGAAAAUAUAUGGAAAUCUUCCUUACCAUAAUUAGUGUUGUAUAUUAUAUAUUGAUUGAUUUCUUACUAGCUUUAGAGGAUUAGAAUUUAUUCCUUUUUUACAGCUUUCCUUGUAAUAUAUAUAUAUAGACCCUUUCAUUGUACAAAUUAUUGAGAAAUAAUAGAAAACAAUUUCUGUUCACAAAUGAAUCAGGAUGCUUGCGAUAGAAAAGAUUAACAUAAUCAAAAUAAAUAGAUUUUACGGACCAAGCCUUGAUCCUUGUUACACUAAUGGUAAGAAAUAGAAUAGAAUUGAAACAAGCCAAGCAAACCCACAGAUGCAUCGUGGUCCACCUUCAAUGCAAGAACUACAUCCACUUGCCAUUGCAAGUUUUCACUAUAAUAGAGAGAGUACAGGUAUUUUUUCCUUGUGCCUCUCACACACUAAAAUUAUUACCCUAAAAUACUUUCCAUAUGUCAUAUAGUAGGAAUAUUAGGAUCGUUUCCAGUAUGAUUAUGCUCCCUAUAGGCUAAGAAUAAUAACUUGGCAAUGUUUUACGUACUUGAAGGACACAUGGAGGUGCCUUAGAUGCAAGUUAAUUUGGUAGAACUUAUAGAUGAAGCCUAAACCUGAAAAAGGAUUAUUCCAUACCAAAAUAAUUCAAAAGAAAUUAGUUGUCCUCGAACAUAUAAUCAAAAUGAUAAUGUUGAACUGACGGCUAAAGUAGCUGAUAAAUUGCAGCAGUCUCUUUUAGCUAUUAAAAGAAUUUUUACUGCUGUGAGUUCUCAUACUAAAAUAUGCAUUUCAUGAUCUCAUGUAGAACUCGAGAUUCAAAUGCACAAAUUUGUAGACCAAAACCAACUAAUGAACCAAUAUAUGAAACACAAUCCGACUAAUGCACCAUGUGGCCAUCACGGUGUCUUUUGCAAAUCUAUGGUAUUGGAGAAGGCACAUACAAAGGGAAGCCUGUUGAGAGUUUCUAUCUGAUAUGUGAAAAUCCCCACUUUCCAGUAAUUGGAGAAACAAACGUAGAACAAAUUAUUUACUAGAUGAUGAAAAAUAGCUCCGUUCACCUCAAAAAUGAUGUCUAAAACAACUUAAAGCUCAUUUAGCGCCGACUACUAAGAAAAGGUUUGUUAAGAGUGAACGCAGGGCGGAGCAAAAGCUAAAGAAGUUUAAUCUAACAAGUGGUAUUCUCUUAAAGACAACUGUAGAAGAAUCAAAUUCACGACACUAAGUUGCCAUACAAGUGCAUCCGUUACUGGCUAAUUGCUCAGAAGGACAUAAACAAGAACAAUGCAGACAAAAUAGUGUAAUUUGGAAACAAAUGGCAGUAAUGAUAAACAGAAAAUUUACACCAUGAAAUUAUUGCCUAAUUUGCUCACAGUGUUGUUCAACCCUUCAUCAGUAAUCAAAUUAAAACAUAGGGCACCUCUUAUAUCCCAGUGCAUAUAGUUAUCUCACUUUCAAUUUGUCAACAGAACCAUCGACUAUUUUCAUUCUUUAAUCAAUUGCAUAAGUUUAAGCUGAUGUUUUCAGAAUCCAAUCUUGGUACCCUACAUCUGCGCAUUGGUUGAGCUGGGAGGUACUUGACUAAGAAGAAAACCUUGGGCUCGCGUAGUGCAAAGGAGUGGGCAUGAAAGAAAAUACCUUCAGGAAGUUUCAUGGAGAAAUAUAGAUGAUUCUUAAAAGAGUAAACAUAAGUCAUUCUCUGCCAUUUGGUGCAUGUCCAUCAGAAUGUUGUAGAACAGAGAGAGAGAGGACAAGUGCAGUAUCAUAUUGUUUCUACUUUCAAAUUCAAAAAGAAUGAACCCACAUAGCAGUGUCUCCACCCUCCGGCCACACAUACGGCCGUGGCUAUUAACAAGAAACUGAAAAUCGCAUCAUAGUUUGCCAGAAAAGAGUUUACUGAGAUAAAGUCCUGAAGUAGGUGGCGCAUAAAAAUUAUGCUUACAGUUUCUUUCAAAAGAUACAUCAGCGUGUCAUGCUGUUCAACUCACCUACUUUUAUGAAGCCAUCUAUAAAACUCUUUCACUCAUAAAUCUUCAUAACCAGAAGAUAUAAAUAGUAACAACACAAAUGUAUGUUAUUUACCCCCAUGAUUUUAUAUUAGAAAAAUGCUAUAUGCUUGUUUUUCCUCAUGUACUUGAAGAAGUCAAAUAUCAACAUUGCAUGGGUAAUCUUCCUAGAGCUUGACACUAAGACGAUCUUUACAAAGCUACAUUCGCAAAACACGCAGCAUCUAAAGAAACGAGAAUGCUCAAGCACAGUCAUUACUGAAGCUUCAAUACAUUAUUAAAAUGAAUGACAUAAAUUUUAAAAAUAGAGUUUCCUGCACAUAUAAUACUUAGUAGGAGUAAUUCAAAAAUGACAUAGGUAAAAGCAGACCUCUUGGCUUUCAUUAGGACUCAAAUUAACAGCUUUUUGGGAUGGAGUGGGAAGAUCUGCCAAAACUUCUACUUCUGGACCUACUUCAAGGAUUCCUGGAGCGCGAAUAAAAACCCCACGAAAACUUGGAGGACCUCCUUCUUCAGCCGCAAUUUUGGGAAUCAAAAGCUCCGCCUCAAAGCUUUGAAGCUGAAAAAGUUAGUUGGUCAUGAAAAUAGGUGGCAAUGAGUGGAUAUAAACAUGAAUCUUAUAUGUAAGCCACACUGCAGAACAAAAAAUUUAAAUGAGAUCAUCAAGUAUGUGCUGAACAUGUUUUCCAAAAGGUAUUCCCUGAAAAAAUCAUAAUUUCUAUGCAAAUCAAUCUAAGAGACACAAUAUAAAUGUGGUUAAAAUAUAGUAAAGCUGAAUUCAUCUUCAAUUAAGAAAAUGCAUCAGUCCAGAAAAAAGCUAUCAAAAUCCCUAAUAUUGCUUCCAUGUGAAUCAUGGUUUAAUGCUCUUGUUUAUAAGAGGAUGCCGGUGAAGUGUUCUGACAUCAAAUGUACAGCAUCCGACAGUGAAACAACAUUAGGCACGACAUAAUAUGUAAAAUUUUGUAUUCUGUUACGUUUUCGAAGGACAACUAUUAGUUAGACAUUGGCUUCACUUCUUUCUUGGAUACUAGUGUACUAAAAUUAAGGUAGAGAGGAUGCUAGUAAUACCUGACUGCCAAAGAAGUUUCGAUGAACCAUACAGUCAAGGCCCCCAAUUAGUUCCUGCCCUCCGAUUUUUUGCCCUGAAAGGAAUGCCCAUCAAGUUCAAAACCAAACAAUAUGAUCUCUUUUAUUUACUCCCUGCCAUUAGACAACUAUAUUCGAAAAGGGUCUCCUGAAACGUGAGCACUAAUCAGAAAAGGGAAAGGUAAGGGGUCUUAACAAUUAUAAAAGAACUGUGCAAAGCCCUGGGCCUUUUGCUCUUAUAACAUAAAAGGUGGCUGGCCAUUCGUCAGGACCCAGGAAUCCUCUGUACAAUCAUUGAUUCUUUCCAUAAAUACCGAUAUUUGGAUUGGAAAUCAUAAAAAUCUAGUAAUUCGAAUCAUAGCCAAGUGCGCGGUGGAUAACUGCUGAAAGCAAAGUAGUAAACCCACCCCCAAGAGAGCUUCCUGAGAUAACAUUGAUGGAAAAGGAUACCUACCUGUGGCCUUGUUGGCCAAGAAAAUAAGGCCUGCACAAGUCCCCCAAACUGGUUUCCCCGUUUUGACAAACUCACGUAAAGCAGGAAACUGCAAUUGUGACAAAUUCUUAGCUCCAAAAUAUCAAAUAAGCUUCAUAUCAAACGUAUAUGUAACAACAGUCACAAGGGGCAAUGAAACUGCAAUUCCAAACAAUAGUUAUAAUCUGCAAAUAGGUGACUUAGCUCUCAAAGUUAUCUAAACCUGUGGAUUACGUUCUCUUCAUCAACUUUCAACUAGCUUGAUUAAGCAAUAUUAACUUUCUUUCUUUGGUAUGGAUAAAACACUAGACCAUACUAAUACACGGUACAGUUUUCAAGGAUGAUGGUUAUUUCACAUGAAAAAUAUUAGGUUUACAGAAAACAGGGGUAAUCUGUACAGCUUCAAAAAUCUCUGUACAAAUAAAUAGCCUAUUAAGGGAGCAAGAUUUUUUAACUAUUUUUUGAGAAUUCAUGGCCUUCACUAUUACAUAUCAGAGACUUGCAGGUUUUCACAUUCAGCAUUGAAUUCCAUUCCUCUACAUGAAGAAACAAUUAAAAAGAAACAUACAAGUGGACAAUAAUCAUGAAAGAAUGCUAAACACCAAGAGAAGGUUAACGAAAAAUUUAUUGUUAAAAAUACCAUUUUUGAUAGUAUCACUCAUACAGUAUGAGUUAUUCAUCUAGAUAAAUAUUAGAAAGUGGAAAAAAAGAAUAAUUAGGUGUGAGAAGAUAUUGAAUUAUUGCAGAUGGGCAAACAUAAUUACUUUGAAGUAGUUAGAGAAAUAUAAAAUAUCACAAGAACAAAAGUUUUGUUGAUUUAUAUUUAUAUUGAAAGUAAAAGACCUGUUUUAUUAAAACGACACUUCUUUAACUGAGUCCACAUUUGGUAAUUGGCUGAUUUAUAUGUGAUUGGAUUGUGCUUCCUUUCUUCUACAAUUACAAUUUUUCCCCAAGUUCAGGAAAAACAGACAAAAAUGGCAACACCUAUAUAUAUGGAUGGCAAUCGGGCUGACCGGAUCGAACUGUCCAUGGCUGGGCUCAGUCUCAGAGGCACCGAGCCCCAUUUUUGGGAGUUGGCUCAAGCCGGGUAGGCCCGUAAAACAAAAAAGUAAAAUUAAAAAUUUGUUGCCUAUUUGGCAGCUAUUUUAGAAGGAAAAAGAAGUUUCAAAAAAUUCAGAAAAUCGAGCUCGACUCGACUCAGACAAAGCUCAAGUCAAGCCUUAAUUUUUUGGCCGAGCUUUUGCUUAGCUCGGCUUGGGUCAAAAAAAGCCCGCCUUAAAAAAGCUCGAGCCGGCGCAGCUCAACUCAUUGACACCCCAACCUAUAUAGUAGCUUCAUUUUUAGUAUUUUUGUCAUCUUUCAAUAAUAAUUUGCCAAGUGUCCAUCUAUAUGAUUUCUGUGAAAUUUCUCUACCUAUAGCAUUAUUCCUACAAUUAUACUAGUUGUACAUUAUUGGUUUACAUUGUGGAUGACAUCCUCCAAUGUGGAUGAAUCUAAUCAUUGAUCGAAAUUUUUUUAAUUAAAAUCAAUAUGCAAAAAAUUUCACGUUACACAAUAUCAAAUUUGAUGCACCUAUAGCAAAAUUAUUUCUCAAUUAUGCAACUUGUACAUUCUUGCGUUACAUUGUGGAUGACAUCCUUCUGUGUGGAUGAAAUUUGGCAAUUGAUUGAAAAGUGUUAUUAAAAUCAAUGUAUAAAAAGCUGUCAUCUCAUACAAUGUCAAACUUGACAUACUUGUAUUAAAAUUAUUUCUCAAUCAUGCUAGUAGUACAUUUUUGGGUUACAUUGUGGAUGAUAUCCUCCUACGUGGAUGAAAUCUGACCAUUAAUACGUGUUUUGGAGUUAGCCUUUUGAGAUUCAUUCAGUUCAACUUGUUUUAGCUUCAAGGUUCUCUCUGGUUCUCUUUCCUGAGCACUCUCAGAAAAUUCCUCUCUUCUCACUUUCGAUUUUUGUGGUUGUGAUCUUGAAAAAGAGUUGUAACCCUAAGUGGUCGAUCUUGUAUAGUUUCCUUAUGUCGGUUUUGUGGCCGUGUUGAUUAGGUAACUAUGUUCGAUUUAUUGUAAAGUUCGAUUAGGAUUGAUUCUUGGUGUUUAGGAGCUGAAAUACACUGGUGUUGUAGUUCUUGGCCAAAAAUCUAGAUCUGAUUUUUGGUUUCUUGCACUUUCCCUUUCUCUGGACAGUUUAACUAGUGCUCAUAGUUGAACUGGGUCAACAAUUCUAAAGUUCUUGCAGUCUAUUUAUUUUCUGCAGUGCAAUAAUUUACUGUUUUUUAUUGCUGCAUUUUUCAAUUUUUCACACUGCUGAGUAUAAUAUUCUGAUUUGGGUCAAUUGAUCCCAACAUAUAUUUUGAACAAUAUUAUAACUACAACAAGGUGAAUAACUCCAUUCCGGAUUCUUUCUCUAACUCGAAUCUUGAGAAGUGAGAACCACAAAAAUCCUUAGUUAGAUACACUGCAUAAUUGGGAAAACACCCAUAUAAACGGAAAAAAAAAGGGAUUUAUUACGAUUAUAUUUUAUAAUUGGAACAAACAAG
RNAcentral lists this long non-coding RNA (10489 nucleotides) under Olea europaea (common olive). RNAcentral describes it as "long non-coding RNA (OEUR_LNC004206)". The record is from RNAcentral. Lineage: Eukaryota; Viridiplantae; Streptophyta; Magnoliopsida; Lamiales; Oleaceae.